CUCCGGAGGGGGCAGGGUGAGAUAUUUGCCAUCAGAGCAAUGUAACUACAUGCAAGGAAACCCCCCUACUAAAACUCCAGGUUAAACAUUGAGCUCUAGAAUCAUUCUUCAGUGAAAUCAGUUAAUGUUCCCCAGAUAAAGAAGAGUAGCACAUGUUUUAUUAUGCUAACCAUUUAUAAUCAUGUGUAAGGUUCUCUUUAGCAUACUAAAAGGCCCAGGCCUAUGUGCUGUCUUUCCUCCUUCAGAUCUGAUGAAGUGAUUUUGCAAACUGGGCAACUAAUUUAGCAAGUAAGCCCAGGCAUAAACAACACAGUAAAAGGCAGGAAGGAUUCCAUCUUAAAAAUAAGAUUGCAUUUUAAUACCCAAGAAGUUAAGACGUUAGAAAUUCUUAACUUACUCUUUAGCAAACAAUACCUCAGCCUACCUUGGGGGCUGAGCAGGUGGCCUUGUUUCAUAUGCUCCCAGACCAAGAUGCUGGUAUCUCAGAGAGAAAUUAUCAGAGGAAGUUACUUGUGUUAAGUUAAUUCUAAAUAUUCAGGGACCACUUAACAAGUUCACACCCCUAAGUUUUUCCAUGUUCUCGAAAAAUCCUCAGCUGCCUAUAAAAUCCCCUAGACAACACACCACUACGGACUCUCUUGUCCCCUCCUGGCAUGAGCCGGGAGCUCUAUCCUUUCACUUUAUCUCUAAAUAAAAGCCUGUACCUUGCUCUCCUACCUUGGCUGUUUGUGAAGCUCAUUCUUCGGCUCCGCAAAUAAGAACCCUGGCAUCAUCUUUGGGGGCUUCUCUGGGAUAACUUCGAAGAAAUAUCAGAAUUUCCUUAUGUCAACUGUCUUACAGUAAUCUCUCAUCAGAUCUUUAACCAUUGUCAUUUAAGCCACAAAACUGCAAAUGGAGAUAGAACCUGGAAUAAAAGUGCCCAUCUUCUGAGGCCCUCUCGAAUGACCACUGAUGGAGACCUAGCUGCACCCCUUACUGCACCACCUCUCAGCAUGAAACAACCAGAGCGGUCAUCGCCCCCUCUCCCUAGCAGCAGCUAGGGUCUCUAUCUGUAGAGGGGGGAAUGAGACAGGGACUGUGGAUGUAGUCAGAGUAGGGUGAGGGCCUCUGGAGGGGGCAGGGCGAGAUAUUUGCCAUCAGAGCAAUGUAACUACAUGCAAGGAAACCCCCCUACUAAAACUCUAGGUUAAACAUUGAGCUCUAGAAUCAUUCUUCAGUGAAAUCAGUUAAUGUUCCCCAGAUAAAGAAGAGUAGCACAUGUUUUAUUAUGCUAACCAUUUAUAAUCAUGUGUAAGGUUCUCUUUAGCAUACUGAAAGGCCCAGGCCUAUGUGCUGUCUUUCCUCCUUCAGAUCUGAUGAAGUGAUUUUGCAAACUGGGCAACUAAUUUAGCAAGUAAGCCCAGGCAUAAACAACACAGUAAAAGGCAGGAAGGAUUCCAUCUUAAAGAUAAGAUUGCAUUUUAAUACCCAAGAAGUUAAGACGUUAGAAAUUCUUAACUUACUCUUUA
Molecule: long non-coding RNA, 1508 nt
Organism: Manis pentadactyla (Chinese pangolin)
Lineage: Eukaryota; Metazoa; Chordata; Mammalia; Pholidota; Manidae
Exons: 3
Source: RefSeq, a predicted model, not a curated record